GAGGGUAUAGCCCAAAGUGGUAGAGCACAUGCUUAGCAUGCAUGAGGUCCUGGGUUCAUUCCCCAGUACCUCCA
This 74-nucleotide transfer RNA is filed under the name Camelus bactrianus (Bactrian camel). It matches the Rfam family "tRNA". Rfam says of the family: Transfer RNA (tRNA) molecules are approximately 80 nucleotides in length. Their secondary structure includes four short double-helical elements and three loops (D, anti-codon, and T loops). Further hydrogen bonds mediate the characteristic L-shaped molecular structure. tRNAs have two regions of fundamental functional importance: the anti-codon, which is responsible for specific mRNA codon recognition, and the 3' end, to which the tRNAs corresponding amino acid is attached (by aminoacyl-tRNA synthetases). tRNAs cope with the degeneracy of the genetic code in two manners: having more than one tRNA (with a specific anti-codon) for a particular amino acid; and 'wobble' base-pairing, i.e. permitting non-standard base-pairing at the 3rd anti-codon position. Lineage: Eukaryota; Metazoa; Chordata; Mammalia; Artiodactyla; Camelidae. RNAcentral also lists the same sequence under 2 other names. The record is from Rfam by way of RNAcentral.